Podarcis lilfordi (Lilford's wall lizard) is the source of this 283-nucleotide non-coding RNA. The record is from the annotation of a GenBank genome assembly. Lineage: Eukaryota; Metazoa; Chordata; Lepidosauria; Squamata; Lacertidae.
GGUUUGUGAGGGCGAUCUGUCUGCGACAUCUGUCACCCCAUUGAUUGCCAGAGUUGAUUCGGCUGAUCUGGCUGGCUAGGCGGGUGUCCCCUUCCUCCCUCACCGCUCCAUGUGCGUCCCUCUGGAAGCUGCACGCUCGGUGGAAGAGGACGACCAUCCCAGACAGAAAGAGCGUACUGUUCUUCUGUCAAGGGUGUACGAUAGCUGCGCUCCCCUGCUACAACCUCCGAACAAGCAUCCUUUAGAUAGAUUACGGACUUUCAUCUAUAGCUGGCUAUAAGAG